AAGUCGUAACAAGGUUUCCGUAGGUGAACCUGCGGAAGGAUCAUUACAAGAAUCGAGACUGGCGGCGCCUAUUCAAUAGGUCACGUCUAGUCCCGCUCUUCACCUUGCCUACUGCACCGUUUGUUGCUUCCUGGCGGCGGCGCCCCCGCCGCCAGGUCCUUUCAAAAGCCAAGUAUAAGCAUUGGAAACUUCUGACAAACACUAAAUCGUACAACUUUCAACAAUGGAUCUCUUGGUUCUG
This 241-nucleotide unclassified non-coding RNA is filed under the name Poaceascoma helicoides. RNAcentral describes it as "partial internal transcribed spacer region". The stretch from base 1 to 46 matches the Rfam family "Eukaryotic small subunit ribosomal RNA", at positions 1786 to 1831 of the family's 1831-position model. Lineage: Eukaryota; Fungi; Ascomycota; Dothideomycetes; Pleosporales; Lentitheciaceae. The record is from RNAcentral.